UCUGGAUGGACCUGCGGUGCAUUAGCUUGUUGGUGGGGUAACGGCCUACCAAGGCGAUGAUGCAUAGCCGAGUUGAGAGACUGAUCGGCCACAAUGGGACUGACACACGGCCCAUACUCCUACGGGAGGCGGCAUUAUGGAAUCUUCCACAAUGGGCGCAGGCCUGAUGGAGCAACACCGCGUGAGUGAAUAAGGGUUUCGGCUCGUAAAGCUCUGUUGUUAAAGAAGAACACGUAUGAGAGUAACUGUUCAUACGUUGACGGUAUUUAACCAGAAAGUCACGGCUAACUACGUGCCAGCAGCCG
RNAcentral lists this ribosomal RNA (305 nucleotides) under Limosilactobacillus fermentum. RNAcentral describes it as "bacterial SSU rRNA". It matches the Rfam family "Bacterial small subunit ribosomal RNA", at positions 220 to 517 of the family's 1533-position model. The record is from RNAcentral. Lineage: Bacteria; Bacillati; Bacillota; Bacilli; Lactobacillales; Lactobacillaceae.